Molecule: ribosomal RNA, 253 nt
Filed under: uncultured bacterium
Lineage: Bacteria
Description: partial 16S ribosomal RNA
Rfam family: Bacterial small subunit ribosomal RNA
Source: RNAcentral
UACGGGGAGGGCAAGCGUUGUCCGGAAUCAUUGGGCGUAAAGAGCGUGUAGGCGGCCAGAAAAGUCCGCUGUGAAAACUCGAGGCUCAACUUCGAGCUGUCGGUGGAAACUUCCUGGCUAGAGUCCGGAAGAGGAGAAUGGAAUUCCUGGUGUAGCGGUGAAAUGCGCAGAUAUCAGGAAGAACACCCGUGGCGAAGGCGGCUCUCUGGGACGGUACUGACGCUGAGACGCGAAAGCGUGGGGAGCGAACAGG